RNA transcript from Daphnia magna, 3080 nucleotides. RefSeq lists it as uncharacterized. The transcript is spliced from 8 exons. The record is from RefSeq and is a predicted model, not a curated record. Lineage: Eukaryota; Metazoa; Arthropoda; Branchiopoda; Diplostraca; Daphniidae.
AACUGCUGAUUUGGUUAGAAAAGGAAUAUUUUUCUCGGAAUCAAUGUUCAAUUUUGAGUGGGAUUUUUGAUCAAUGUGAAUUUGUGUCAAUGUGAUUUUCAGCCAAUUCGAAAAUGUUUAAUUUUUUGUAUGUUCUAACGUGCCUCUCCUUUUUUACGCUGAAAUAUUGAUCAUAUUUAUUUAGGAUUCCGAGACACCCGAAGUCUAGAGCUUUUUAAAAUUUUAUCAACUUUUUUUCUAAAUCUUUUUGUUUUGUUUGUUGUUUUUGUUUUUUGUUUUCGAUUCGACAACGUCUUGGAACAGCCGACAGUAUAUAGAAGACCAAUCCCAAGACUGCGGCAUGUAUGGCCGCACUCGUGCACCCAAAAUCCUAAAUACUACCAAUACCAAAGCCGACAGUAUGAGUGUAGUAGUUUAGUUUUAGUAUUUAGUGUCAUACAUGGCCGGGUCUUCAUUACUUUGAUGAGCUUGCUUGAGAUUAUGGACAAGAUUCCUAUUCACUGCCCUGAUUAACAGACAAUUUGCUCUCUUUAGAUUUUACGAAUCUUUUUUUCCCUUCACGAGUUAGUAUUUCAUAUUUGAUCAAAGAACACAUUGUGGAAUGUGCACGAAUGUCUUUGUCUCCAUUGAAACUUUGAGCACUUGAUAUUUAAUUACGUUUUUUUGCUCUUUGAUUCAGUGUUUUAACCAUGGUUUAUCAAACCUUGUAUACACCAUGGUUUUAACCAAGGGUUUUAACUGUGCUUACUAACCUGGGAACACCUUUCUUUUUGCUACGAGUUAAACCCUUUUAGUUAAAGUGAUUAGUCUUGCCAAUUGUUCAUUUUGACGAUUUUGAUAAGGAAUUGGACAAUCAAUUCUGGUCUUAUGACAGCCAUAAUUUCAUGUGUGUCUGACAUUGGCUACUAUUAGUAUUACAACAAUAUUAAUAUAUGCAAGGUACUGUUUGCAUGCAAAGAUGCUGAUCUUGAUUGACCUGUAUCGGUUCAAGCAGGAUCAUUGUCUUAAAUGAAAUCCAUUUGCAAAGUGUUUUGACACUGACAUCCACACUUUUCUGUUCAGUCAUAGAAAAGAUGCCUACCAUUUUGAUGAUGAUUGUUUUGUCAAUCCCUAGAGUUCUUAUCUAAUCAAUGGUUCUUGUGUAGGUGUGUCUGAAUUUGCGAAAAGAUUGUUUUGACAGAAACUUUUGUAGGAAUAUGGCUAUAAAAAGAUUAUGUUGGUUGAAGCUAGGGUUUGGAAGGUUUCAUAAUUACCAUUUGUGUUCUUAUUCAUGGUUUAUUUUCUCUGAUUAGAUUUACAUUGUGUACCAAAGUGGAUUCAAUGAGAUUGCUGACACCAUAAAUGGUAAUGAAUGGAAGCGUGGCUAGAACUUUCCAUGGUUGAAUCAGCCCAUCAUGAGGCAUAUUUGAACUGGGAACGCGACAUUGGACCCCCCAACAGUGGCAACGGAGGGUACCCCGACGAAAACAAACGGGCCCCUCGACACUAGCCCCCACCCCCUCGACACCAGUCCCCCCCGACAUUGGCCCCCACCGUUUUUGCAGGGGGCUACAGUCGGCGAAGAGGGCGACACCAGCCACCCCUGGCAAUAGAAGCGGGGGGGCCUUUGUCGUGUAGGCAUACGACACCAGCGUCCCCCACUUAAAAUCAUUCAAGUACGGGGGGGCCAGUGUCGUAGUAUCAUACGACACCAGCCUCCCCCCUCAAAUUAAUUCAAUCGAAGGGGCUGUCGCAGUGGCAGUCGACAACAGUCCCCUUAUGUUGAUAAUCGAUUGUUAGGCCGAUUUCGAUCGCCAGUCAACAGUCCAACAUGGUCUCCACGGUAUAUACCGACCGUUCGGUAAGAUUGCAUUCCUGCUUUCCCUCUCUGUAGUCCUAUCUACAAGUAGUGCCGCCAACGGCCGAAGGAGGAAUUAAAAGCUUCUAAACAGUUUUGACAAACGAAAUUUACUGGCGAAGAUGAAAAGGAUUUAAGAAGAGCGCUAAAGUAGCCUAAGAGGAGAAAAAAGCAAAGCAAAAGGGAGAAGAUUAGGACCUAAUGGUGGGACUGGAGCUGAAGGAUAUGGUCUUUUUAAAAAAGAUAGGUUGUUCCCACAAGCAGAUAUACCUGCUCCUUCAACAAAGUUGCCUAAUGAACCUAAGGCGAAAAAAAUAUAUAUACUGUGAAAUCACCAGAAUUCCUAACUGGUGGUUGUGCAGAAAAUUCUUGUAACCAAAAACAAGAUGCUGAAAAAACCAAGGAUGGUUAUAGCAAUCACACAAGAAGGCAAUGAGAUUCAAACACCAACAGAAGAAGUAACGAAACGGCUGGCCACUCUAAAAAUGAGGGUUGAAAGAAUUCAAGAUGAAGCAAGUAUUGAAAAUGCUUCUCUUGUAACCCAAUCACAGGCAAUGACCAGAAUUUCAUAUGAUAGAACUUGGUUGAAGAGGAGAGAAAAUGUCGAUGCUGGGUGGGUUAUCAACAGAAACACAUACCUCUCAGCUUUUAUUAAGCACAAAGCUCUUUCGGAGAGAGAGGUAUGCUGUAAUUGUCAUAUUUCAAUUCCCUAUCUUGCUGUGCGAUGCAACACUUGCCAUGCCAAUUUAUGCCCAGAAUGUGAUUGGGCAUUUCAUUUUAAAAGACCGUUCCACUAUCGAGAACUAUUCGGAGAGAGUUCGUCCAGGCCUCUUCUACCGUCUGAGUGUGUCCAUUCAAAUGGACAUGUUGUAGAAAAAGCCGUUCCAGGACCGUUACAUAUCCCUCCUGAUUGUGCUGACUGUGCUGAGAAGAGCACGGUUCAGUUAUUUUCAGGAUCUACGUGCAUCGCAAUUGUAACAAAAGAUGGACACUAAAAACUAGUCAUAUCCCGUGAAAAUUUCGAUUUAAUCGACACCUAGAUGCUGAUGCAGCGUUAUUUGAAAGAAAAAAUUGCCAAAUCAGUGUUUUUCUUUAAGAAGCUGGAAGAUGAUGAUACCAGCAGCUCCUCCAGUUCAUCAGAUGAAGAUCAAUUUCCGGAAGGCUCAUCAGCUGAAGAGGAAGAGAUUGGAAGAGAGUAAUUGAAAUGUAGAAUAAUAAAUUGAUAAUACAUUUUUAAACUCUC